RNAcentral lists this long non-coding RNA (213 nucleotides) under Trifolium pratense (red clover). Its description in RNAcentral is "long non-coding RNA (TPRA_LNC010154)". Lineage: Eukaryota; Viridiplantae; Streptophyta; Magnoliopsida; Fabales; Fabaceae. The record is from RNAcentral.
CCGGAGCAAUGUGACUCAACCACAGGUUCAUCCCCACUUCAUCAGUGCAAUCCAUGAAAAAAGGUACACAAAAAUCCAAACCUUUACUAUUAAUCAAGAAAAAGGUUUUGGGGAGGAUUUGUUGAAAGGUGUGGCUGAGAUAGGUAAUGAGGUCAGGUCUAGGAGAUGGGGGAAGUUUAAUAAGUUGAUGAUCAAAGAUGAAGCUAAUCCGGG